Non-coding RNA from Vicugna pacos (alpaca), 4967 nucleotides. Lineage: Eukaryota; Metazoa; Chordata; Mammalia; Artiodactyla; Camelidae. The record is from RefSeq and is a predicted model, not a curated record.
GCUCUUCCCAUCUAAGGGAAACAUUUUAGAACAUUGGUACUGGGCUCAGAAUAACGGGAAAUGUGCAGUGGGACCAUCUAUUUCAAUAACUGUAUGACCGAGUCAGGAAAUCGAAAGCUUACAGGACUGAAAAGUGAGAUAAAGAAGAGAGGGAGAUUCAUAGAUAUUAUUCCUUGAGCCUGUAGCAUCCCAUUUGCUAUAGACAAACCUUGAAAGGAGAGUUGGAAAGCUUUUGUGAACUCAGGAAUGCGUGUGUUGUUUGUACUACAAACCCAACCUCAUCAUCUUAAUCUUGCCUGGAAGAGAUGACUAAAAGUAUGGGUUGUAUCUGUGGAAUUAAAAUCUAUAAAGGCAGCGAGCUUUGUUUUUCAAAUGGAGUUCUUGUUUGUUUUCUUGACCCUUCCGGAAAAUAGCGGAGGGAGAGGAGAGAGAAAGGGGAUAGCCGUAUGCAGAAGAAAGCUGGUGAACUAUCCUGUUCUCCUGAGCCCUGAUGUUGAACUGUGCCUACACUAUGAGAUCCCUCUGGUACCAGAUGCAGUGCCUUUCACGUUUGGAAUCCACGCACAGAGGAAGGAUUCACGAAGAAACAGUCAGCAUCAGGAAAGCCUUUGCUCUCUGCUCUUGCUCUGUGCCGUCAGUUAUUUUUGUCUGGGGGCUUUACAGAGAUGUAACUCCUUCAGUCAUCCAAGUGUGAUGUAGUAAAAGUCAUUUGCAGGAAGUGAAACUCCACUUUGGUACUUUCUUUUCACUCAAAGGCUAAUGUGAUUAGCUCUGAAACAUUUGUUCAUCUUUUUACUCAGUAUUUGAACUAUGCCUAUGGAAGACAUAUGGAUUUAAAUAGUACUUGGCUUACCAUCUGCUGAUAAGGGAAAGUGAGAUGCUAAAUCAGAGUGGCAGGAAAGUCUAUUUCAGUAGAAGCUAUUUUGAUCUGAAAUACUGUAGGGCAAUCUUACAGAGUAUUUUAAUUGGGCUUAUAUUGAUGUGAGUUAGUAAAAGGGAGUAUAUUUGCUGGGAUGGUUCAACUUAUAUAAUCAUUGAAUGUAUCAGUUUAGAGAUGUGGGGCAAUGCAAAAUUUUAAUCCCAUUAAUUUUAGCCUUUUUUGCCUAAAAUAAUCAUUUGUGGGAAAAGCUUUUUGAUUCAUUCAUUUUAGAGCAGUGAAAUAUUUUAUAUCUCAUGCCAGAAAUUAGAACAUAAAAACAUCAAUUUUUCAGAUAAAUUCAUUCAAAAUUUAAAAAAACCAAUUUAUUCUUUUAAUAUGGUGGUCAUUUGUUGAGUAUUUUUAUUGUAAACUGCAUCUUGAAAAUCCAAGUUAACUUGGGGAGAUUAGAAGAAGAAAAAGAGAGUAUCUAUUUUCAUGAUGAUAUAAUGCUGGUGCAUAAUGCCAAAAAGUCUGUAAUCGUGGCAUAUUUAUAUUUCAGGUUAAAACUUGGACAGUGUAAAAUUAUCGAGGCAUUAAGGAUGCUAUGAACUGUAGAAGAAUCUGAAUCAUAUAUAAGUAUGUGCGUCUAUAUUGCACGCGUAUAAUUUUGAUUAACCCUUACACCAAGUUUAUUUUUGUUUUUCAAGUUAAUCUGUCAUUCUUUCAUACAACAUGUGUACGGCAUACCACUUUUGCUUGAAGUGUUACACCUCAACACAUGGUCUCCGCCUUCUGGGAGGAAUGUACAGUAACGGGUCCUCCUCUGUGUCCAGAAUUAUGUCAGGCAUCAUCUCAGUUAAUUCUCUGAACAACCCUGUGGUGCUGAACAUUUGCAACUCCACUGUAAAGAAGGCACAAAGGUCUAGAGAAGUUGAGUAAGUUGCCCCCAAAUAACACAGCUAGUUUAAUUAUGUUUAAAUAAAGGUUACGUAGCAAGUGCCCAUUUUGGCUUGGGCACUGUGCUGAGUGGUAAGUAGAAGACGAAAAAGACAAAGUCUAUGAGAUGACAGAAAUGUUAACGGAUGAUUUUUAAUGCAGAAAGUGCAGUAGCAGAGAAGGCGACCCUGAGUGUAGGCAGCUAUCUUGGCCUGGGAGGUCCUCAGAGACAUACUGGAGAACAUGGUGCCUGAGCUGAAUUCUCGUUUGUUGAAUGAAGAUGGAGCAAAAGGCCAAAGAACCACUGCAUGGGCCCAGUGCCAGAGUCAUGAACUCCUGUUGUUUACCCAGCGUGGCACCAGGCAUGCGGUUCAGUAAGGCCCUGCCACAUGUGGCUGUGGGCCCGUGGGCCCCGUGGGAUGCUGCUAGUCUGAACUGACAUGCGCACCAGAUUCCUAAGUGCAGGUGUGAAAAACAUCAGUGUUAAAACUAUCGCAUUAUGCAAUUUUCUAUUAAUUACAUUUUGAAAUGACAAUAUUUUAAAUAUAUUUUCUCCAGCAGAUAUACUUAACAAUUUUGCUUUGAUUUGGUAAAUCUGACUGACUGAUUUAACAAUUCAGAGAUGGUUUGGUGUUUUGGAAACUUUAGAAUUUCUUCAUGUUGUUGCUUCUGUUUAUAUUGUUCUGUUGGUGCCUUUGAGUUAUUGAAUUGACAGAUUUGGGGGGGCAUUGGCCUUAUUAAAUAAGUGAUUGGCACCACAUUAGUUUAUUUCCACAGGAAAAUAUGAAAGAAGUCCUGAAAUCAUACACAUAGUGCAUCAUUUCUUAGAAGUUUUCUUUUUUUUUUUUGUAAUUUGGAAAUUUUGCAUUCAAUUUCUUGCAGGUAGGUUUACAAUUUGUAAAAUAUUUAGGGCUAUUCUUUUUCUAGCCUGAGAACAUUACUCUUUCGAACUUAGAUAUUUUGUAAACUUUUUUUGCACAAGUAUAUGUUUUUCAGGACAUGAAGCUUCUGAAAUUUCUGUUGUAUUUCGCUUGGUACCAGCUUUUUUCUUCUUUAUCAAGGAAAUGACUCUGUUAGUUUUCUUUACUAAGGAGCUUAUGGGGGUCUAACUGAGAAAUCUAGAACAGUCUGUAACCCCAGGAUCUUACGGUGUGAUUGGCAAAACACAAGUCAGCGCUGCAGAUUCUAUGGAGAAGCUCGUCCUCCUUAGAUUAGGUGAUGCCACUUGCUACUGAACGAACCCUAUUCAGUUGACUUUGCCAGGUUCCACAAGCAGGUCUGUGCCUCAGACGCAGGAAGUUUUUCUCAAAAGCAGGUAUUAUUUUUAUUUUUAGAAAGACCACAGUUAGGUUUAGCAGUACAAUAUUAUCAUUGAUUUAUUAUAAACCACCCCAGAAUUACUGAUGAGUUAGUCAUGCCCUUUUUAUGUGUCAGAGAAGAGCAUUCUCCUGUCUCCUUCAGUGAGAAGGAAGCAGGUUGCCAUGUCAAUAUUUUACUGUUGCUGAUGGCAGAUGGCCCAAUCUCAGUGAACGCCUUUCUCAUUCUCCCCACUUUCUUUCCCAUCCCCAGUCUUCUUUUCCCUCCCUUCCCUUUAGCUAUUACAUUGAGUCAUUCUGUAACUACCCAAAAGCUCCCUUUGCAAAGGGAUGCUUUAAAACUCAGUAUGUGAGCAGAAUUAGAGCAUGGCCUCUUAGAACUAGAAGGUCAUUAUAUCCAACCUUCUAAUCUCUGCUCCAUCACGAACACUGAAAGCGGAGUCCUUUAACUCUACUCCACCGCCAUCCGGAAAGAGCAGCAGAAAGUACAGGAGUCAUAUCCACCCACACUGUGGAUGUUACAGUGAGGACAGAGUGGGGACAAUGAUCCCAUGAGAAGUCCGCCUCGGAAGUAAGAGGUUUCUGGUCUGUACUCUCCUCUUCUGCCCCUAUGAUGUAGGCAUCUUUCUUAGCAAGGCUACUUGCCUCAGGGAUUUAGAAGAUUGUAAGUUAUCAAACCAGUUAGAACUUUUAUGUCACUGUACCAAUGUACCAAAUUCUUUUUCUUGCAUUUACCUUGAAUACGUUUCUGAACAUAUAGGAAGACUUCAUCUUGGAUGAAACGUUAUAAUUAUAAUUAAAAACAAACACUCUUAACUAAGCAAAUUGUUUCCAUUUUAUCACCGUUACAGAGCAUGUGGUCAAAGAUGUCUUGUUCACAGAUUCUUCCAGGCUAGGUUCCUAGGAAUAGAAUUUCUUUGUCAAAGGACAUACACCUGAGAGUGUGGACAGGAAAUGCUGGAUUACUCUGCUGUUUCUAAUAUCAGCAAACAAUUUGGAAAAUAAUUGUGUCUGUUCAGAAUUUUGCUAGAUGAGAAUAGCAAUGGAGGUAGAAAUGAAGAAUCACCGUGUGGGAAAAAACGCCUAAACUAGGAAUUCUUGUGGUGACUUUUCCUGUUACUGUGCAUGUGUCAGUCCCUGGAUGGCAUUUCUUGGAGCCAUUUAUUUGCAUCACGUGGUAAAUCUUUUCCCGCCUCACUCUCUCUGUCUUUGGAACAACUGUAUUGUGGAUUUGAUGGAUACUUAGUGUCAGCCAGCUUUUCCUUUCAGUGGUGUAAAUUGCUCCAGUUGUUAAAUAUUCAGGAACAAAAUGUAAUUUUUUUUCAGAUGAGUAAGAGGUGCUGGCUGAUUUAAGAUAAAAGGUGGACACAUCCAUGCAGCUAACAUACGUAUGGUGUUGAAGUGGUUAUUACCUUCACCUCCUCAGAUGUCAAAGCCAUGGCAUUAUCGUUUUUCUCAAUUUUCCCCUCUAUUUUCCUUCUUAUUUCGUUCCUUUUUUUAGAACAACUUGAUGAAUUUAUGGGUACCAUUUUUAACCACCUAUCUAUCAAACACAGUUUGAUGUCUCACUAAAUCUGAGCAAACCCAAAGGGUCUGAAUAGCCCAGAUUUUACCAUAAGUUCUGUAGCUGUCUUACAUUUUUACAGAUAGUCAGUGGGUCACAUUGCCUUUACUUCUUGAAGAGUCAUCAUCCCUGUUUUGAAGAAUGAGUGGCAAAAGUGAUGACAUUCUGUUUCUUCUCACUGUUUUCUGAUUUCUGGAGCACUACCAUUCUGCACAUUUCCUCUGGCCUUAAGAAUGCCAGCUGGCUAUUUGGAAAAAAAAAAAAGAAGAAGAAGAAAGAAAGAAAUGCAAAA